RNAcentral lists this ribosomal RNA (25 nucleotides) under Goodenia bicolor. RNAcentral's name for it is "partial 25S large subunit ribosomal RNA". The record is from RNAcentral. Lineage: Eukaryota; Viridiplantae; Streptophyta; Magnoliopsida; Asterales; Goodeniaceae.
GCGACCCCAGGUCCAGGCGGGACUA